Zingiber officinale is the source of this 248-nucleotide long non-coding RNA. RefSeq lists it as uncharacterized. The transcript is spliced from 3 exons. The record is from RefSeq and is a predicted model, not a curated record. NCBI's taxonomy places the organism in Eukaryota, Viridiplantae, Streptophyta, Magnoliopsida, Zingiberales, Zingiberaceae.
AACUCUUCAGUGAUGCUUUAUUGAAAGAAAUUAAGGCGACGGUAGUUCGACAUCCAGAUACUUUGACUAUGGAAACUAUAAAAGCAGGCAAUAAGGGCUAUGCUGCAGAGAUUUUGGUUGUCACGUACAAUCGACAUACGGAGGAUGUAGAUGACCAAUCAAAGUUUAGGAUACUUCUGAACAUUCCUUGUAUUCCAGAGCUUUGGACAGCAUGGGAGAGAACUUAUUACCUCUGAGGUAGCUUGGCA